UUCUACCCCCAACCUCUUUUCUUUUCCUUUCUUUUCUUUUCUUUCCUUUUCUCUUUCUUUCUUUCUUCCUUUCUUUCUUUCUUUCUUUCUAUCUUUCUAUCUAUCUUUCUUUCUUUCUUUCUUUCUUUCUUUCUUUCUUUCUUUCUUUCUUUCUUUCUUUCUUUCAAGAUUCCAGAGCUGUUCCACUUCUCUUGUGGUGGUGACAGGAAACCUAGGGAAAGCAUUUCUCUUCCAUGUUUGCUCAGUCAUGCAUGCUCAUGCCAGAUUUGCAGGGCAAACCUGUUGGGAAUAGUGCUCCAACCUGUUUUCUGAGAUGCAGGAGAGAGCAGGUGCUGGGGACAGCAGGAGCACAGCGGAAUGCUCUCUCAGAGGGCCACAGGAUGGGAGCCAUUCUCUGUGGAAUCAAGUGAGGAUGGCCAAAUAGUGAAUCUCAUUCACUUAGAAGGAAGAAC
Molecule: long non-coding RNA, 452 nt
Filed under: Rattus norvegicus (Norway rat)
Lineage: Eukaryota; Metazoa; Chordata; Mammalia; Rodentia; Muridae
Description: long non-coding RNA NONRATT023554
Source: RNAcentral